This is a non-coding RNA of Cucurbita moschata (crookneck pumpkin), 73 nucleotides long. Lineage: Eukaryota; Viridiplantae; Streptophyta; Magnoliopsida; Cucurbitales; Cucurbitaceae. The record is from the annotation of a RefSeq genome assembly.
UUUGUUGUAGUCUAGUUGGUUAGGAUUCUCGACUAUCAUUUGAGAGACUUGGGUUCAAGUCCCAGCAACGGAA